GAUGAACGCUGGCGGCGUGCCUAAUACAUGCAAGUCGAGCGAACAGACGAGGAGCUUGCUCCUCUGACGUUAGCGGCGGACGGGUGAGUAACACGUGGAUAACCUACCUAUAAGACUGGGAUAACUUCGGGAAACCGGAGCUAAUACCGGAUAAUAUAUUGAACCGCAUGGUUCAAUAGUGAAAGACGGUUUUGCUGUCACUUAUAGAUGGAUCCGCGCCGCAUUAGCUAGUUGGGACGGUAACGGCUUACCAAGGCAACGAUGCGUAGCCGACCUGAGAGGGUGAUCGGCCAGACUGGAAGUGAGACAGGGUACAGACUCUGACACGAGGCAGCAGUAGGGAAUCUUCCGCAAUGGGCGAAAGCCUGACGGAGCAACGCCGCGGGAGUGAUGAAGGUCUUCGGAUCGUAAAACUCUGUUAGUAGGGAAGAACAAAUGUGUAAGUAACUAUGCACAUCUUGACAGUACCGAAUCAGAAAGCCACGGCUAACUGCGUG
RNAcentral lists this ribosomal RNA (497 nucleotides) under uncultured bacterium. RNAcentral's name for it is "partial 16S ribosomal RNA". It matches the Rfam family "Bacterial small subunit ribosomal RNA", at positions 28 to 507 of the family's 1533-position model. The record is from RNAcentral.